RNAcentral lists this long non-coding RNA (234 nucleotides) under Marmota monax (woodchuck). Lineage: Eukaryota; Metazoa; Chordata; Mammalia; Rodentia; Sciuridae. The record is from RNAcentral.
CAUGAUGUGUGGAAAAGCACACACCACAAUCUCAAUCACACAAAAUGGGAUAUUGUGUAUAUAUGCAUACAACCUAGAGGGACACGUCCAACUAAGCUUCUUGUGACUGGAUGACUUUGUUCUUUGCUUGUGUGUGUGUGUGUGUGUGUUUUCCUGUAAUGUACAAUUUACUUUUAAAAAAUAAAAAUUAUUUUAAAAACCUGAAAAAAAAAAACUAACCAAACACUAAACUAG